Molecule: ribosomal RNA, 378 nt
Filed under: uncultured bacterium
Lineage: Bacteria
Description: bacterial SSU rRNA
Rfam family: Bacterial small subunit ribosomal RNA
Source: RNAcentral
UACGUAGGGUCCGAGCGUUGUCCGGAUUUAUUGGGCGUAAAGAGCUCGUAGGUGGUUCGCUAAGUCGGAUGUGAAAACUCGGGGCUCAACCCCGAGACGCCAUCCGAUACUGGCGUGACUUGAGUCUGGUAGGGGAGAUCGGAAUUCCUGGUGUAGCGGUGAAAUGCGCAGAUAUCAGGAGGAACACCGGUGGCGAAGGCGGAUCUCUGGGCCAGUACUGACACUGAGGAGCGAAAGCGUGGGUAGCAAACAGGAUUAGAUACCCUGGUAGUCCACGCCGUAAACGUUGGGCACUAGGUGUGGGUUCCUAUCGACGGAAUCCGUGCCGUCGCUAACGCAUUAAGUGCCCCGCCUGGGGAGUACGGCCGCAAGGCUAAA